Molecule: ribosomal RNA, 405 nt
Filed under: uncultured bacterium
Lineage: Bacteria
Description: partial 16S ribosomal RNA
Rfam family: Bacterial small subunit ribosomal RNA
Source: RNAcentral
GACGAACGCUGGCGGCGUGCUUAACACAUGCAAGUCGAACGAGUGGCGGACGGGUGAGUAAUGCUUGGGAAUCUAGCUUAUGGAGGGGGAUAACUACGGGAAACUGUAGCUAAUACCGCGUACCAUAGGAUGAGCCCAAGUGGGAUUAGGUAGUGGGUGGGGUAAAGGCUCACCAAGCCGACGAUCUCUAGCUGGUCUGAGAGGAUGACCAGCCACACUGGGACGGAGACACGGCCCAGACUCCUACGGGAGGCAGCAGUGGGGAAUAUUGCGCAAUGGGGGCAACCUGACGCAGCCAUGCCGCGUGAAUGAAGAAGGACUUCGGGUUGUAAAGUUCUUUCGGUAGCGAGGCGUUAACUACAGAAUAAGCACCGGCUAACUCCGUGCCAGCCGCCGCGGUAAUUC